GUGCUCACAUUGGUAGCCCACAAUAUUAGAAUAAUGCAGACAAUAUUAGCAUGGCUCCUAAAAAAGGAUGACACCCAAAUUCAUGAAGUGCUCCAUAUUUUU
Molecule: small nuclear RNA, 102 nt
Organism: Panthera tigris altaica (Amur tiger)
Lineage: Eukaryota; Metazoa; Chordata; Mammalia; Carnivora; Felidae
Source: Ensembl